Molecule: ribosomal RNA, 1298 nt
Filed under: Vibrio alginolyticus
Lineage: Bacteria; Pseudomonadati; Pseudomonadota; Gammaproteobacteria; Vibrionales; Vibrionaceae
Description: bacterial SSU rRNA
Rfam family: Bacterial small subunit ribosomal RNA
Source: RNAcentral
GCGUCGAGCGGCGGACGGGUGAGUAAUGCCUAGGAAAUUGCCCUGAUGUGGGGGAUAACCAUUGGAAACGAUGGCUAAUACCGCAUAAUGCCUACGGGCCAAAGAGGGGGACCUUCGGGCCUCUCGCGUCAGGAUAUGCCUAGGUGGGAUUAGCUAGUUGGUGAGGUAAGGGCUCACCAAGGCGACGAUCCCUAGCUGGUCUGAGAGGAUGAUCAGCCACACUGGAACUGAGACACGGUCCAGACUCCUACGGGAGGCAGCAGUGGGGAAUAUUGCACAAUGGGCGCAAGCCUGAUGCAGCCAUGCCGCGUGUGUGAAGAAGGCCUUCGGGUUGUAAAGCACUUUCAGUCGUGAGGAAGGUGGUGUAGUUAAUAGCUGCAUUAUUUGACGUUAGCGACAGAAGAAGCACCGGCUAACUCCGUGCCAGCAGCCGCGGUAAUACGGAGGGUGCGAGCGUUAAUCGGAAUUACUGGGCGUAAAGCGCAUGCAGGUGGUUUGUUAAGUCAGAUGUGAAAGCCCGGGGCUCAACCUCGGAAUAGCAUUUGAAACUGGCAGACUAGAGUACUGUAGAGGGGGGUAGAAUUUCAGGUGUAGCGGUGAAAUGCGUAGAGAUCUGAAGGAAUACCGGUGGCGAAGGCGGCCCCCUGGACAGAUACUGACACUCAGAUGCGAAAGCGUGGGGAGCAAACAGGAUUAGAUACCCUGGUAGUCCACGCCGUAAACGAUGUCUACUUGGAGGUUGUGGCCUUGAGCCGUGGCUUUCGGAGCUAACGCGUUAAGUAGACCGCCUGGGGAGUACGGUCGCAAGAUUAAAACUCAAAUGAAUUGACGGGGGCCCGCACAAGCGGUGGAGCAUGUGGUUUAAUUCGAUGCAACGCGAAGAACCUUACCUACUCUUGACAUCCAGAGAACUUUCCAGAGAUGGAUUGGUGCCUUCGGGAACUCUGAGACAGGUGCUGCAUGGCUGUCGUCAGCUCGUGUUGUGAAAUGUUGGGUUAAGUCCCGCAACGAGCGCAACCCUUAUCCUUGUUUGCCAGCGAGUAAUGUCGGGAACUCCAGGGAGACUGCCGGUGAUAAACCGGAGGAAGGUGGGGACGACGUCAAGUCAUCAUGGCCCUUACGAGUAGGGCUACACACGUGCUACAAUGGCGCAUACAGAGGGCGGCCAACUUGCGAAAGUGAGCGAAUCCCAAAAAGUGCGUCGUAGUCCGGAUUGGAGUCUGCAACUCGACUCCAUGAAGUCGGAAUCGCUAGUAAUCGUGGAUCAGAAUGCCACGGUGAAUACGUUCCCGGGCCUU